UAGGGAAUCUUCCGCAAUGGACGCAAGUCUGACGGAGCAACGCCGCGUGAGUGAAGAAGGAUUUCGGUUCGUAAAACUCUGUUGUUAGAGAAGAACAGCGCAUAGAGUAACUGUUAUGCGUGUGACGGUAUCUAACCAGAAAGCCACGGCUAACUACGUGCCAGCAGCCGCGGUAAUACGUAGGUCCCGAGCGUUGUCCGGAUUUAUUGAGCGUAAAGCGAGCGCAGGCGGUUAGAAAAGUCUGAAGUGAAAGGCAGUGGCUCAACCAUUGUAGGCUUUGGAAACUGUUUAACUUGAGUGCAGAAGGGGAGAGUGGAAUUCCAUGUGUAGCGGUGAAAUGCGUAGAUAUAUGGAGGAACACCGGUGGCGAAAGCGGCUCUCUGGUCUGUAACUGACGCUGAGGCUCGAAAGCGUGGGGAGCGAACAGG
Molecule: ribosomal RNA, 428 nt
Filed under: Bacteroidota bacterium
Lineage: Bacteria; Pseudomonadati; Bacteroidota
Description: Bacteroidetes bacterium partial 16S ribosomal RNA
Rfam family: Bacterial small subunit ribosomal RNA
Source: RNAcentral